AAGUCAUUAAAGUUAUUAGGUUUUCGGUCCUUUAAUGAAGGGAUGUGUGCUUAGAAUGAUAGUGAUUCUUCAAAAUUUAGUGAGUAAUUAGUAUAAUAGUAUAAUUUAAGGAAUGAAAAUAAUCAAAAGUUUAAAUCUAAAAAUGAAAAAUUUGGUAACACUAAAUGCUUAAUUAAUGCUUGAUAGUAUUAUAGCCUGACUCUCUCUCUCUCUCUCAAGUGGUAUAGAUCAUGUUCAACGGAGCUGAUCGUCAAUUUGGAAGCUCUAUCAUCGAAAACAAAUAAAUAGUAAAACGGCUCGUUUACUACUGAUAGUAUUCUAGCAAAACUCUAUAUAUAUAUAUGGGGAGAGAGAGAGAGAGAGAGAGAGAGAGUAGAUCUACUAUACUAUCGGAAGUAUAAAGUAAUUGAUAUUUUCAAUUUUUUAUCCCUUAAAUCAACACCAUUGAUCAUUUCUAAUCAUUAGAUUAAUAUUAUUAACCAAUAGGGACUACUCAACCCUAAGAAGACCGCUAUCAUCCGUAAAAUUUUUGAUCCACGGGCAAAAAAAUUAGAAGCACCGACUACUUUAUGCUUCCGAUAGCAUAGUACAUCUACACUAU
This 601-nucleotide long non-coding RNA is filed under the name Ananas comosus (pineapple). Its description in RNAcentral is "long non-coding RNA (ACOM_LNC027362)". Lineage: Eukaryota; Viridiplantae; Streptophyta; Magnoliopsida; Poales; Bromeliaceae. The record is from RNAcentral.